ACCGCAUUAAAGCAACCCCAUACAAUCAGAAUCAUGAAUAUUUAGGUUUGCCAAUGAUUUUCAUACAAUCAAUCAUGAAUAUUUAGGUUUGCCAAUGAUUUUCAUACAAUCAAUCAUGAAUAUUUAGGUUUGCCAAUGAUUUUCUUAAGCCCACAGUAGCAAAGUUUUGUGAAGACCAGUUCACCCAUACCAUACACAUCUGCAAACUAUCACAUUCUCUUAUCAGAAUCAGGAUCAGGAUCCUAACCAGGAUGGACAAACAAUUAAGUUAU
This 272-nucleotide long non-coding RNA is filed under the name Aquilegia coerulea. Its description in RNAcentral is "long non-coding RNA (ACOE_LNC001596)". Lineage: Eukaryota; Viridiplantae; Streptophyta; Magnoliopsida; Ranunculales; Ranunculaceae. The record is from RNAcentral.